CUUAGAAACCAACUUGAAAACUUCAUUGCUGAUGUGAGAGCUGAUUCAAGUUUUGUUAGUUGUAAUGAUCUUGGUAGUCUUGCUGUGAAGAUGGUUCGGACUGAUAGACACAUGGUCUUUCCUUUGGUAUAUCGUCUUAUUGAGUUGGCAUUGAUUUUGCCUGUUGCAACCGCAUCAGUGGAAAGAGCUUUCUCAGCUAUGAGUAUUAUCAAGACUGAGUUGGGGAAUAAGAUGGGUGAUGAUUGGUUGAAUUUUUCCAUGGUCUGCAAUAUUGAGCGAGAAAUAUUUGCAAAGGUUGAUGAUGAUGCUAUUAUAUAUCGCUUUCAAUCCUAUAGAUGUCGCAAAGGAACUUUACCU
This 357-nucleotide ribosomal RNA is filed under the name Triticum aestivum (bread wheat). Its description in RNAcentral is "partial small subunit ribosomal RNA". The record is from RNAcentral. Lineage: Eukaryota; Viridiplantae; Streptophyta; Magnoliopsida; Poales; Poaceae.